UUGAAGAGUUUGAUCAUGGCUCAGAUUGAACGCUGGCGGCAGGCCUAACACAUGCAAGUCGAGCGGUAGCACAGAGAGCUUGCUCUCGGGUGACGAGCGGCGGACGGGUGAGUAAUGUCUGGGAAACUGCCUGAUGGAGGGGGAUAACUACUGGAAACGGUAGCUAAUACCGCAUAACGUCGCAAGACCAAAGUGGGGGACCUUCGGGCCUCAUGCCAUCAGAUGUGCCCAGAUGGGAUUAGCUAGUAGGUGGGGUAACGGCUCACCUAGGCGACGAUCCCUAGCUGGUCUGAGAGGAUGACCAGCCACACUGGAACUGAGACACGGUCCAGACUCCUACGGGAGGCAGCAGUGGGGAAUAUUGCACAAUGGGCGCAAGCCUGAUGCAGCCAUGCCGCGUGUGUGAAGAAGGCCUUCGGGUUGUAAAGCACUUUCAGCGGGGAGGAAGGCGAUAAGGUUAAUAACCUUGUCGAUUGACGUUACCCGCAGAAGAAGCACCGGCUAACUCCGUGCCAGCAGCCGCGGUAAUACGGAGGGUGCAAGCGUUAAUCGGAAUUACUGGGCGUAAAGCGCACGCAGGCGGUCUGUCAAGUCGGAUGUGAAAUCCCCGGGCUCAACCUGGGAACUGCAUUCGAAACUGGCAGGCUAGAGUCUUGUAGAGGGGGGUAGAAUUCCAGGUGUAGCGGUGAAAUGCGUAGAGAUCUGGAGGAAUACCGGUGGCGAAGGCAGCCCCCUGGACAAAGACUGACGCUCAGGUGCGAAAGCGUGGGGAGCAAACAGGAUUAGAUACCCUGGUAGUCCACGCCGUAAACGAUGUCGAUUUGGAGGUUGUGCCCUUGAGGCGUGGCUUCCGGAGCUAACGCGUUAAAUCGACCGCCUGGGGAGUACGGCCGCAAGGUUAAAACUCAAAUGAAUUGACGGGGGCCCGCACAAGCGGUGGAGCAUGUGGUUUAAUUCGAUGCAACGCGAAGAACCUUACCUUGGUCUUGACAUCCACAGAACUUUCCAGAGAUGGAUUGGUGCCUUCGGGAACUGUGAGACAGGUGCUGCAUGGCUGUCGUCAGCUCGUGUUGUGAAAUGUUGGGUUAAGUCCCGCAACGAGCGCAACCCUUAUCCUUUGUUGCCAGCGGUCCGGCCGGGAACUCAAAGGAGACUGCCAGUGAUAAACUGGAGGAAGGUGGGGAUGACGUCAAGUCAUCAUGGCCCUUACGACCAGGGCUACACACGUGCUACAAUGGCAUAUACAAAGAGAAGCGACCUCGCGAGAGCAAGCGGACCUCAUAAAGUAUGUCGUAGUCCGGAUUGGAGUCUGCAACUCGACUCCAUGAAGUCGGAAUCGCUAGUAAUCGUAGAUCAGAAUGCUACGGUGAAUACGUUCCCGGGCCUUGUACACACCGCCCGUCACACCAUGGGAGUGGGUUGCAAAAGAAGUAGGUAGCUUAACCUUCGGGAGGGCGCUUACCACUUUGUGAUUCAUGACUGGGGUGAAGUCGUAACAAGGUAACCGUAGGGGAACCUGCGGUUGGAUCACCUCCUU
Molecule: ribosomal RNA, 1537 nt
Filed under: Klebsiella pneumoniae
Lineage: Bacteria; Pseudomonadati; Pseudomonadota; Gammaproteobacteria; Enterobacterales; Enterobacteriaceae
Description: bacterial SSU rRNA
Rfam family: Bacterial small subunit ribosomal RNA
Source: RNAcentral